Nomascus leucogenys (northern white-cheeked gibbon) is the source of this 148-nucleotide non-coding RNA. It matches the Rfam family "Metazoan signal recognition particle RNA". Rfam says of the family: The signal recognition particle (SRP) is a universally conserved ribonucleoprotein. It is involved in the co-translational targeting of proteins to membranes. NCBI's taxonomy places the organism in Eukaryota, Metazoa, Chordata, Mammalia, Primates, Hylobatidae. The record is from Rfam.
GCCAGGCAUGGUGGCGCAUGCCUGUAAUCCCAGCCACUCGGGAGGCUGAGACAGGAGAAUUGCUUGAACCUGGGGGGCGGAGGUUACAGUGAGCCGGGAUCGUGCCACUGCACUCCAGCCUGGGUGACAGAGCGAGACUCUGUCUCAA